This is a long non-coding RNA of Hydractinia symbiolongicarpus, 1431 nucleotides long. RefSeq lists it as uncharacterized. Lineage: Eukaryota; Metazoa; Cnidaria; Hydrozoa; Anthoathecata; Hydractiniidae. The transcript has 2 exons. The record is from RefSeq and is a predicted model, not a curated record.
AACUGGCUUUAUAUAAGAUUCCAAAGCUUUUGGAAACUUUGUUUUCCACUAAUUUAAUAUGUUCUCUCCAAGUUAAAUUUUCGUCUAGGAGAACUGCAAGAAAUUUCAUUGAAUAUUCUGUUCUUAUGUUUACAUGAUCAAUAACUAAUCCAGGUAACCUAAGAGGAUCUCAUGGUUGACUGUAUCGAAUGAUUUGCUGAGAUCAAUAAAGACCCCAAUUGUAAAUUUAUUCUCAUCAAAGGCUUGAAAUAUUUCCUGACUCAACUGAAUGAUUGCGUGAUCAGUUGAAUGACCUGCUUGAAAUCAAAUUGCUUAUUAUACAAAAUAUUGUUAUUGUUCAAGAAUAAAUAAACUCUGUUGUACAUGAUUCUCUCUGAAAUCUUCGAGAAGCAAGGGAGUAUUGAAAUUGGUCUGUAGUUAGAUACUUUACAAACUUCUCCUGCUUUAAAGACUGGGACAACUCUAGCUAUUUUUAACUUUUUAGGAACAAUGCCUGUAAUUAGAGAUGAAUUAAAUAUAUGCAGUAGUGGAGAUUUUAGCCAGGACUUUUGUUGAUUUGCAAAGAAUGAAAUGCUGCUUCUAGUUCCUCCUCACUUAGCUCUUUUUUCUCUAUUUCAUUAUCAUGAUAUGACAAAUACGAUCUAAAGAAUUUUGCACUGUGACCUAUUUUCGACGCCAGGGUCGGCCCCACUUUAGUGAAAAAAUUGUUAAAUUCUUCAGCUAUCAAAGAUGGUUCUUCAAUUUCAUUUUCGUCAUUUACAAGUUUUGAAGGAAAAUUAUUACUUCUAAUUUUUAUUUUACCAAUCACUUCCUUGAUGAUAUUCCAUGUUUUUCUUGCAUUAUGUUUGUAUUUAUUAAUUUGUUCAUUGAAGUAAAAAUUCUUAGCACGCUUUUUUAUCAAUUCAAAAAGUUUUUUAUAAUUUUUAUACAGUGUUUCAUUCCUGUAGGUUUUCUUUCUUAAAUACUUUUCAUAUAGUUUUUGUUUUCUUCGGGAAGAUUUUUGGAGGCCCCUAGUCAUCCAGGAAUUAAAGAAUAUUUUGGUUUUAAUAAACUUAAUUUCUUCUGGAAAUGCCGCAUCAUAACUUUCUAAAAAAAUUUUCAGAAAGCUAUCAUAUGCGAAAUUUGCAUCCGUUGCUUUUACCACGUCGUCCCAUUUUACCUUAGCCAAUAAAUACUUAAAUAAUGUUAUUGUAUUUUCAUUUAUUUUUCGCUUUUUUAUUUUUACAUGGCUUGACUGUUUCUCAAAGUUUGUAUUGGACGUGAUAAAGACGAGAAUAUGAUCAGAGAUGUCUGUUUUGAUAAUACCUGAAUGUAGUUAUUUGUCGCAAAAUGAAUUUGUUAUGAUGUGAUCAAUUACUGUUUUGUUUAGUUACCCGGGUUGGUUUAUUUAUGAGAGGAAUAUACCCACUUUGAAAUAUAAAGUUAAAGAAA